UACGGAGGGUGCAAGCGUUGUCCGGAUUUAUUGGGUUUAGAGGGUGCGUAGGCGGCCUUGUAAGUCAGUGGUGAAAGCCUCCAGCUCAACUGGAGAACUGCCAUUGAUACUGCAAGGCUUGAGUACAGACGAGGUUGGCGGAAUUGAUUGUGUAGCGGUGAAAUGCAUAGAUACAAUCAAGAACUCCGAUUGCGUAGGCAGCUAACUAGGCUGUAACUGACGCUGAGGCACGAAAGCGUGGGGAGCGAACAGG
This 253-nucleotide ribosomal RNA is filed under the name uncultured bacterium. Its description in RNAcentral is "partial 16S ribosomal RNA". It matches the Rfam family "Bacterial small subunit ribosomal RNA", at positions 524 to 776 of the family's 1533-position model. The record is from RNAcentral.